Cloeon dipterum is the source of this 5011-nucleotide RNA transcript. RefSeq lists it as uncharacterized. The record is from RefSeq and is a predicted model, not a curated record. NCBI's taxonomy places the organism in Eukaryota, Metazoa, Arthropoda, Insecta, Ephemeroptera, Baetidae. The transcript has 12 exons.
AUAGAUAUAUAUACAACAAAGUUGUAUAUACAACAAUGAAUAACCUAUAUAUACAACAAUGUUGUAUACCUACAACAACGGUAUAUCCUAUAUAUACAACAAUGUUGUAUACCUACAACAACGGUAUAUCCUAUAUAUACAACAAUUGUUGUAUACCUACAACAACGGUAUAUCCUAUAUAUACAACAAUUGUUGUAUACCUACAACAACGGUAUGUCCUAUACCUACAACAAUAGCAAUCUGGCAACAUCGCAGAAUGGGCGGCAACGACAAGCACUGAAAAGCCCGUGGACGACACCGACUGCCGGCGCCGGCUCACGGUCGUCGCCGCCAUCUUGCCAAGCGGAGAGCGGAGCGCGGACCGGAGCGGAACUGUGAAAAUUCCGGAAAACGAAGCCACGAGCACCAGAAAACAGGAAAUGCUAGUGGAAGAUUCGCCGUAUUGUUCACAGGGACAAACGACCUGGGGACGACCCUGCGCGUCCAAGUCUGGACGGUGCCGAUUCCCGCGUGGCAUGGACACGACCCGAGGAAGGAAGGAUUUGGCCUUGUUGAGGUUGAGCAGCAGGCCCAGCAAAUGUCGUCCGCAGUGGCGUUCAAAUGCAAAACAGGACACCUGGACGGUGCAGAUUUUUGUGCGGUCGAGGAAGGAAGGAUUUGGCCUUGUUGAGGUUGAGCAGCAGGCCCAGCAAAUGUCGUCCGCAGUGGCGACGAAAUGCAAAACAGGACACCUGGAUGGUGCCGAUUUUUGUUCGGUCGAGGAAGGAAGAUUUUUGUGCGGUCGAGGAAGGAAGGGUUAGGCCUUGUUGAGGUUGAGCAGCAGGCCCAGCAAAUGUCGUCCGCAGUGGCGACGAAAUGCAAAACAGGUCACCUGGACGGUGCCGAUUUUUGUUCGGUCGAGGAAGGAAGGGUUAGGUCUUGUUGAGGUGAGUUUUAACAGUGAAAUUAGCACUGGGCUGAUUUGGAUCUGUAUUUUGGGCCAUUAUUUCUCGAUUUUCUUUGGUGGAACUUGAUUUUCUAUUCAUAAUAAUCAUACAUAAACAGAUUGCAUAUAAUAUGUAUGGCGGAGACACAAUUCUGGGCCAGUCCACACUUCUGGGCCACUUCCAUAAGAAAAGCAUUGAUUUUAUGGAUUUUAUUGUUGUGACCCACGUGAUUUUAAAUUGAACCAAUUGGUUCAAAGUUUUUUGGUUCAAAGGGGGACAAAAAUUGAACCAAAUCCUUAAUGCAAUGAUUUCAAAUAAAGAACCAAUUGGUUUAAUGAAUAAAUUUUCAAAAUUUUAAAUAUAUUUUAAAUUUAGAUGCAAUUUGCACUUUUCGCACCUAAGGAUGAAUAGACUGAUUAAGUCUUGUAAUUUAAUUGGCUGAAAACACAUAACUUAAUUAGUUCUUACCUGGAUUCGAACCUUGUGAUUUAUGAGCACAUCCUCUACCCUCUGCACCACUCGCGUAACGGUAUAUGUUUUAAAAAUUUGACGUAUAUAUAUCAAAUAGGAAAAAACCGUGGAAGAUGCGCCUGCUUUUAGUGACUAAUCAGCCAUUAUGUGAGAAAACGUCCUGAUUUAACUUAUAUUCUACUCUCAUUGGGCCAGUUGCAACAUUAAAUAUACCUACAAAAACUUAUUAAUAAAGAUUUCCGGGGUUAUGUACCAAUAAAAUUUUCAAAUUUUUAUAAAAGGUUUGUUUUUUGGCAUUUGGUUAUUUGCAAGAAAUUAAAAAAUGAUUGCACACACCAUUUGAUGUUGGCAAAUAAUGAGUUAAUAAACUGAAAAAAAUUUAGAAAUUUUUAAUUUUGUGGUACUGAAACAUAUGAAGUUUUUGGUUCUCUGAAUGAAAACAGCAAUGUAGCAAAAUUAUACAUUCCACCCCAUCAAUACUUAAAAUGUUAUUCUAUAUUGAAACCUAAAAAAUAUGAACCAAAUUCCCUGUUUUCUUGUGCAUAGUGAUUGUUUAAUUAAUGAAAGGAGUUAAAAUUUAAUCGGAUCAUAACAUAAUUUUUAAGAUGUUCAUAUGGAAAAAAUCCAAAGUUUUUAUUCGUUUUUUCCUAAAUAUUAACCAAAAUAUUUACAUUAUUCUGAGUCAAAAAUACAUACGAAUGCUUGAAGUUUUGAUUCUUUGUUGCAAAUUAUUGAACCAAUAGAUACUCUUAAACAAACUUUGCUUCUAUUUUUUAGAAAUAAAGAACCAAAACUCUGUUACAGACAUGAUUUGAUUCUUUAUUUUAAAAAAUUGAACCAAAACUUCUGUAUGUUGCUUCAUUAAAACAAAAAAUUGAACCAACUUGGUUCAUUGAUUUGAUUUUGAACCAAAAUUGGUUCUAUUAAUAGGAUAAUUGCAUCAAUUGGUUCAAAAAAGUGCAAUCUUUGAACCAAAUGACCAAAAUUGAACCAAUUGGUUCAAUUUAAAAUCACGUGGGGACCCAUCAACAAUGAAAACAAUGCUAUUUAAAUGGAAGUGGCCCAGAAGUGUGGAAUGGCCCAGAAUUGUGUCUCCGCCAUAUGUAAAAUAUUAUCAAAAUGCAAACAGAGAAUGUAUACAUGCAAAUAUAUGUACCAUAACUUUUAGCGCAUUAAAACCUGCCUUGUCUAGGUUGAGCAGCAGGCCCAGCAAAUGUCGUCCGCAGUGGCGUUCAAAUGCAAAACAGGACACCUGGACGGUGCCGAUUUUUGUGCGGUCGAGGAAGGAAGGGUUAGGCCUUGUUGAGGUUGAGCAGCAGGCCAGGUGAAUGCCGUCCGCAGUGGCGAUUAAGAUUCAGUGCAAGUAACCAUGGAUAUGGAGGGAGCUGUCAUAAUCUCCUUGGACUUGAUUGGAUAUCCAUGCUGGAUUCUUGCUCUGCGCGUGCUUCUUCAGCUUGUCCCGGUGCUCGUUACUUGUCCCUUUUGGUCGACCACGGACCUUUGGUUUUAGUGGAAAACCAAUCUUCUGCUGAGAAGUGAUGUUUCUCAAAAACUCUGAUGCUGGAAGAAAUUCUUCUUCAUGAGCCACUGCAAUUUCCACCGAGCCAUCUUUAUCCUCCUCGAAAUCCUUGCCUGCCUCUUGCCCAGCAGAUUCAACUUCUGACACUUCAACCAGCGCCAAUCCGUCUUCCGCAGAGCCAAUUUCCCGACCCUGUGACUCCUCAGCUUGCACAGAAUAGUUUGCCUGUGCCUCAACAUUAUUUCCAUCAUCUUCGCAAGAGACAGAGCAGACUUCUUCAACGUCAAAAACUCCUACGUCUUCCACUGGACGCAACACAUUCGCAUUUCUGCCAGCUAUAAAUGUGAAUUAAUAAGGAGGCAGCUGCUGCUCACAAGUUUGGUAUUGAAUGGUCCAGCGCAUUGGGAUUUCCACAGCAUCGAUCAUGGGAAGCCCAAUUUCCUUCCUCAGAGCCAUGAUGUGGUAGCAAGGUUGAAUCAAACAGGAGCAGCUCUGGAAAUUUUGCGUAAUUCUUCUUCAUCUCUGAGGUUGCGAUGAAAAGACAUGAGAAGUUGCCCUCCGGACCAGUGAUGAUUGUGUAUGAUCCUAAUUACAAACAUAAUAUGCAAUGGCAAUCUAUUGGCAUGAUAUGGUUCAGGACUUGGGGUCUAAAGGAUUGAGAAAGCCUGGUGUCAGAUAAGUGAAACAUAACAAGUUGAUAAAUGUGUACUUUGUGAGCUCCUAUUUUUUCAGAUUCCGGAUGGUGGAUCUCCAUUGGCAAAAAAAUAAGCUGGUGCAUGGAGACAAGAUAAUACCUAAUGAAAUCAAAAUGUGCUGUCAUCGAGAGUUCACUACUUGAGAGACUCGAUUUUAAUCAUAUAACCAUCUUUAGAAUAUUUACAUGUGAAAGUAUACCAUUUUAUAAUCAAUAGAAAAUUUUGUAGCCAGAUUUUUAUGUGUUAUAUUGAUAUAUUACUUCUCAUUGUCCAGAUCCUUGGGUAGGACUGCUUUCCCCGUCUCCUUCAUGAUAACCUCUCUUAUCUUGGUUGGAUUCACUCCAAGGUCGUCAAGCUGCUGCAGACGCUCCUUCUCUGUGUUGUUCAAUCUACGCUGCUUAGGGUAUUGUGCAAAAUCAGCCGGACAUGGUUUGUGCACCUUUUCAUGUACGUCUGUGGUCACGUGACAGUCGUAGAUGUAUAGCAUUUCAUUACGAGUGCCCACCUUGAAAUAGGCACCACAGCCAAGUUUGUAGGAUCUGAAAAAUUAUUGUUCCUUAUAACAAUGUAGCUAAUGAUAUGCAAUAUUGAAAGAAAAAAUUUGGAUAAUAUGUAUUGCAUACAAAAAUCAAAAUAAUAUGUGCUUAGCAUUAAGGAUAUGUGAAGUUUUUGUAUUAAUGUAUUACAAAUAAUCACAAUUUUCAAAUUAAGGGCACAUUGUAGUGCAAAUUAUUCUCAUGUUUCCAAUUGCUCAAAAUCCCUCAUAACUGAAUGCACAUGUUGGAAAAUAUGUAAUGUAUAUUUACUUCUGAUUGGGGCGCUGCCCUGUCGAACGACCAUCAACGGGAUCUCCAUAAUGGAUACAUGCAUAUUUGGCAGAUCUAAUGACCAAUUUGUUCUUCUUUGUCUCCAAUUUGGCCCUGGCCGCUGCAUCAACCACCUUGUCAGAGAUUUUUAUGUAGUUGCUGCUUAGGCAUGUAUACACAAUGAAGGUUUCUUGUUCCAAUGCCUUAAUUGCCUCUGAAAGAUCACUAAAACUUUUGAAGGUCUUGCCAUUUGUGAUUGACAGUGUUUGUGCCAUUUUACAAAACCGCUUGAAUCACAGAUCACAUACAGACUAAAGAGCAGGAGCACAAGCAAAGAGUACCCAGAGCUGCAGAUCUAAUUGAAUUUGAGCAGUGUUGAAACAUGUUCUGUUUGCCUGCUGUUCCCCCUCUUACACUCUCAAAGUUCCAUUCCCUGAUUGCAAGUGAAGAUGCAAUAAUAAUACUGUGCUGUCACCUCUUUUUGUUUGGAGAAUGAUGUUUAUGUAUUUGUAGCCAAUCUAGCUGCCGCAGAUUCACAAAAAAGUUAUUGUAAAAAAUUGUAUUAAUAAAACACUGAUUGUGUUUUCCCAUCGA